GUGGCUGUAGCUCAAUCGGCAGAGCACUUGACUGUGGAUCAAGAUGUUGCGGGUUCAAGCCCCGUCAGCCACC
Molecule: transfer RNA, 73 nt
Filed under: Chloroflexota bacterium
Lineage: Bacteria; Bacillati; Chloroflexota
Also listed under: 1 other name
Description: tRNA-His
Rfam family: tRNA
About the family: Transfer RNA (tRNA) molecules are approximately 80 nucleotides in length. Their secondary structure includes four short double-helical elements and three loops (D, anti-codon, and T loops). Further hydrogen bonds mediate the characteristic L-shaped molecular structure. tRNAs have two regions of fundamental functional importance: the anti-codon, which is responsible for specific mRNA codon recognition, and the 3' end, to which the tRNAs corresponding amino acid is attached (by aminoacyl-tRNA synthetases). tRNAs cope with the degeneracy of the genetic code in two manners: having more than one tRNA (with a specific anti-codon) for a particular amino acid; and 'wobble' base-pairing, i.e. permitting non-standard base-pairing at the 3rd anti-codon position.
Source: RNAcentral